This 253-nucleotide ribosomal RNA is filed under the name uncultured bacterium. Its description in RNAcentral is "partial 16S ribosomal RNA". It matches the Rfam family "Bacterial small subunit ribosomal RNA", at positions 524 to 776 of the family's 1533-position model. The record is from RNAcentral.
UACAGAGGGGGCAAGCGUUGUCCGGACUGACUGGGCGUAAAGCGCACGCAGGCGGUUGUGGGCGUCGGUGCUGAAAGUCCACUGCUUAACCGCGGGAUGCGUGCCGAUACGGCAUAACUGGAGCGAUGCAGAGGCCAGUGGAAUUGCCGGUGUAGUGGUGAAAUGCGUAGAGAUCGUAAGGAAGGCCAGUGGCGAAGGCGAGUUCCUGGACAGUGACUGACGCUGAGGCACGAAGGCCAGGGGAGCAAACGGG